Empidonax traillii (willow flycatcher) is the source of this 183-nucleotide long non-coding RNA. RefSeq lists it as uncharacterized. The record is from RefSeq and is a predicted model, not a curated record. The transcript has 4 exons. Lineage: Eukaryota; Metazoa; Chordata; Aves; Passeriformes; Tyrannidae.
UCCCUCUUUGGAAAAGCUGAUGGAUCUGGGCCUGUUCACCCUCGAGAAGGGACAACUGAGAAGGGACCUCAUCAAUAUUAUAAGUAUCUGAAGGGAGGGUGCCAGGAGGAUGGAGCCAGGCUCUGCUCAGCAGUGCCAAACAAUAAGACAAGAGGCAAAGGGGAGAAACUGAUGCACGGGAAG